ACUCGAGUGGCGAACGGGUGAGUAACACGUGGGUGAUCUGCCCUGCACUUCGGGAUAAGCCUGGGAAACUGGGUCUAAUACCGGAUAGGAGCCAUUUUUAGUGUGAUGGUUGGAAAGUUUUUUCGAUGUAGGAUGAGCUCGCGGCCUAUCAGCUUGUUGGUGGGGUAAUGGCCUACCAAGGCGGCGACGGGUAGCCGGCCUGAGAGGGUGGACGGCCACAUUGGGACUGAGAUACGGCCCAG
This 242-nucleotide ribosomal RNA is filed under the name uncultured Actinomycetales bacterium. RNAcentral describes it as "partial 16S ribosomal RNA". It matches the Rfam family "Bacterial small subunit ribosomal RNA", at positions 89 to 334 of the family's 1533-position model. The record is from RNAcentral. Lineage: Bacteria; Bacillati; Actinomycetota; Actinomycetes; Actinomycetales.